UGUGUAAACCCAUAGGAUUUAUCGACGUCCCCCCAUGAAAUAAACGUGCAAAAGAUUUUACUCAUUUUUUUAUGACGCUGUAACUCAAAUGUUUUUAUGGCCAACACAUAAAACGCACGCACGAAUAAAAAGUAAACUUAUCACUUAUGUAAAAAUAUUUUUAUCUUUUCAAUAUUGUAUCAUGCAAUGAGCACGCAAAAGUAUUUAUUUUUUGUAAUAGCCUGUAUACUUCACUAUUAUAAAGUUUUAUUGUGAUAUGCUUGUCGGCCGAUUAUCUUAGGUUAUCGGGCGUUUUUACAUAAAUAAUAAUGCAAACUUCUUUAACAUUUAUGUGAGAAUUUAUUGUCACAAGAAUUAAAAGUUAUGGUUUUCUCACAUAUACUUGAAAACUAAGUUAGAUUUCAUGUACGACCUAAAUAAACGGUAUGGCUUGGGACGGAGUAGUCGCGAAUAUUGUGAAGAAUUCAAAAUAAAAUGGUCAAGAAGAUAAAUUACGAGUAAUGUUUGAACUAAGAAUUAAGAUUAUUUGUUUUUGAGUUUCUAAUAAACAGUCAAUUAUACAUGUUAGUAUCUUUAUUUUGCCAUGCAUGAAAUCGUCACCACCCAA
Molecule: long non-coding RNA, 607 nt
Organism: Hyposmocoma kahamanoa
Lineage: Eukaryota; Metazoa; Arthropoda; Insecta; Lepidoptera; Cosmopterigidae
Exons: 3
Source: RefSeq, a predicted model, not a curated record